Long non-coding RNA from Mercenaria mercenaria, 880 nucleotides. RefSeq lists it as uncharacterized. The transcript is spliced from 3 exons. The record is from RefSeq and is a predicted model, not a curated record. Lineage: Eukaryota; Metazoa; Mollusca; Bivalvia; Venerida; Veneridae.
CUGAGAUGAUUUAUGCUUAUACUUAUCCAUCCAUUUAAGUCACAGUUAUCUAACAGAUAUAUUUUAUAUUUCAGACACUCUGUAACAAGAUGAGAGCCAAGUGGAGGAAGAAGCGUAUGCGCAGGUUGAAGCGAAAAAGGAGGAAGAUGAGGGCAAGGUCAAAGUAGAUUGCCUUCCACAUUCACCAGGAUACACUUGACACCACACAUAAUGGCUUUUGACAGUUCAAAGUUUGGAACCCUCCUUUUCCUAUUUCUAUUACUGCGACUCUAGCUUCUGCUAGCAACAGCAACAGAAAGGAAACCCUUGGAUGAUGAUGAUGAUAAAAAGAUGAUGAUGAUGAAUUGUACGAGUGCGUGUGCAGUUUAGCUGUACAGGUACCGUGCACCAAACUUUGUGACUUGUCAAUAGAUUUUCUGUAUAAACAUUGCAAAAUAUAUACAUCAUCAACUAUAACAACAGCAGCAGCAGUAGUAGCAUUACAGCAGCAGCAACAACAACAACAACACUUGAUCAUCUUUUCCAGAUCGGAAAAGGUGACAGGAACAUUCGUAUCUUUCUGCUUGGAACUAGGUUUGAAAGAACGAAGUAAACACGGCUAUUUGGCACUCGUCAUAUGAAUGGGCACUAGUUUUGAUAAAGGAAUACAUUUUGUGUUCGCGUCUCUGAAGAAAUGGGACUUGUUACUAGGCAGCACAUUCUCCAUGGAUGUUUGGCAUUAACCGUAACUUUAUCCACCAGCAAUGUUUUAUAUUGAAUUUAUUAUGUGUGAUGUGCUACUGUGGAUAGACAAUGUCUUUUCUUUAGGAACUUAGUUCUUUCUUGAUAAGAAUUAUCCAUUGUUGCUUUCAAUUUAUUGAAAUAAAAGUGUAUCUUGGUA